GGGGUUGUUUAGUUUCGACAGGUUGUACUUUUUAAAAUAUGCAAGUCGAUCACCCACAGACAUAUCGUUAAACUGCUGUGGAAGAUAUAAGUGCAAACUUCAUAUCAAAGGCGAAAGCCACAUUUGCGCAAGCAUUUGCUGGUUUCUCACCUGCUUUAGCUUAGGCUCGAAGCCAUCGAACUGCUGAUUUCUCGUAAGCAGAGCUCGGUGUCAAACAUGAGAAUAGUGUGUUGAGGUUUUUCAGACUCAACAUAUGAAAUAAUUCUGAAGACGGCACUUGAAGGUUUUGCUUGUUUCCUACUUCAAACUGUCGCAUCUGCCGCAAGGUGGAAUGAAACAAACUAAACUUGUAGAGGAUUUUGGAUUGUCAAUUUUGGACAUGGGUGCAAUUCCCAUCAGCUCCACCG
Molecule: transfer-messenger RNA, 407 nt
Filed under: Minisyncoccia
Lineage: Bacteria; Bacillati; Minisyncoccota
Description: UBA12068 sp000991645 Standard tmRNA
Rfam family: transfer-messenger RNA
About the family: Bacterial tmRNA, also known as 10Sa RNA or SsrA, is named for its dual tRNA and mRNA-like properties. Its role is to liberate the mRNA from a stalled ribosome.
Source: RNAcentral